RNAcentral lists this ribosomal RNA (500 nucleotides) under uncultured Glomeromycotina. RNAcentral describes it as "partial small subunit ribosomal RNA". It matches the Rfam family "Eukaryotic small subunit ribosomal RNA", at positions 591 to 1092 of the family's 1831-position model. The record is from RNAcentral. Lineage: Eukaryota; Fungi; Glomeromycota.
CCAAUAGCGUAUAUUAAAGUUGUUGCAGUUAAAAAGCUCGUAGUUGAAUUUCGGGGUCAGCAGGUUGGUCGUGCCAAUGGUAUGCACUGGCCUUGCUGAUUCCUCCCUCUUGAUGAGCCGUAAUGUCAUUAAUUUGGUGUUGCGGGGAAUCAGGACUGUUACUUUGAAAAACUUAGAGUGUUUAAAGCAGGCAAGCGCUUGAAUACAUUAGCAUGGAAUAAUGAAAUAGGACGUUUGAUCCUAUUUUGUUGGUUUCUAGGAUUGACGUAAUGAUUAAUAGGGAUAGUUGGGGGCAUUAGUAUUCAAUUGUCAGAGGUGAAAUUCUUGGAUUUAUUGAAGACUAACUACUGCGAAAGCAUUUGCCAAGGAUGUUUUCAUUAAUCAAGAACGAAAGUUAGGGGAUCGAAGACGAUCAGAUACCGUCGUAGUCUUAACCAUAAACUAUGCCGACUAGGGAUCGGAUGAUGUUAAUUUUUUAAUGACUCAUUCGGCGCCUUACG